This 222-nucleotide unclassified non-coding RNA is filed under the name Glomus sp. RNAcentral describes it as "partial contains 5.8S ribosomal RNA and internal transcribed spacer 2". The stretch from base 1 to 71 matches the Rfam family "5.8S ribosomal RNA", at positions 84 to 154 of the family's 154-position model. The record is from RNAcentral. Lineage: Eukaryota; Fungi; Glomeromycota; Glomeromycetes; Glomerales; Glomeraceae.
GUGAAUCAUCAAAUCUUUGAACGCAAAUUGCACUUUCUGGUAUUCCGGAAAGUAUGCCUGUUUGAGGGUCAGUUAAAUAAAAAUCGGUUUUUUUGCUGCUGUUGGUGGUGACGCGUCGGAAUUUGGUCGUCUUACCUUCGGUUAGGGGACUUAAAAUUUUUGCAUGAUUUUCGAACGUAUUUAAAUCGCUUACGUACGUUUGAGAUAUCGAAAGAUUAUUAG